CCACAUUUUCACACUCUCGAAAAACCUCUCUUCUGCGUCACAAAGAGCCCCCAAAUUGCAAAAACCUCCCUUGGAACCCCUCACUCCACCCACCUCUCUCUAUCUCACUAUGUUUAGAAUCCACCGCUUUGCAUUGGCCAAAUCCUUCCACCUACGCUUCUUCUCUCCGUCCGCCGCUGCUCUCAUCGAAGAACCAGCAAUCGAGGCCGCCCCACUGACCUACCUCGAAGGACUCCCCAAGCCCGGUCCAGUGGAGACGAUCCUCGCGAUCCCUCGCUCCACAUCCGGCAAGAGCAUAGCCGCGAAAGAGCGAAAAGCUGGGCGAGUCCCGAGCAUCCUGUUCGAGCAGGAAGAUGGGCAGCAUGGCGGUAAUAAAAGGCUGAUUUCGGUGCAGUCGAAUCACGUUAGGAACUUGGUUAAUAAGCUUGGAAGAUCAUUCUUCUUGUCCAGGCUUUUUAAACUUGAGGUCAGACCGGAGUUUGAGUCGGACGAGAUCAUCGAGGAAGUCCGGGUUUUGCCUAGAUUGAUUCAUUUGCACUCGAUAACUGAUAUACCCAUUAAUGUCACCUUCAUAAGGGCACCUUCCACUGCGUUGUUGAAGGUUGAUGUUCCUCUUGUCUUCACAGGCGAAGACGUAUCUCCUGGACUCAGGAAAGGUUCUUAUUUGAAUAUCAUUAAGAGGACCGUCAAGUUCCUAUGCCCUGCAGAUAUAAUUCCUCCAUAUAUUGAGGUGGAUCUAAGUGAACUGGACGUGGGCCAAAAGUUGGUAAUGGGAGACCUCAAGGUUCAUCCAGCUCUACAGCUCAUCCAGUCAGAAGAACAGCCUGUUGUUAAGAUCAUGGGAGCCAGGGUUUCUGACCAAAGGAAAUCUAAAUAAGCACUUGAGGAUUCAUCCCCACUC
This 901-nucleotide unclassified non-coding RNA is filed under the name Hevea brasiliensis (rubber tree). Lineage: Eukaryota; Viridiplantae; Streptophyta; Magnoliopsida; Malpighiales; Euphorbiaceae. The record is from RNAcentral.